GAGGAACACGUGGGUUAUCUACCUUGAGGUGAGGAAUACCGGCGAGAAAUCGCCGACAAUACCGCAUACGUUUGGAAACAAACAAAGUCCCGGCAACGGGACGCCACAAGAUGAGCCUGCGCCCGAUUAGCUUCGUUGGUGGGGUAACGGCCUACCAAGGCAACAAUCGGUAGCUGGUCUGAGAGGACGAUCAGCCACACUGGGAUUGAGAACGGCCCAGACUCCUACGGGGGGCAGCAGUGAGGAAUUUUCGUCAAUGGGGGCAACCCUGAACGAGCAACGCCGCGUGCAGGAAGAAGGUUUUCGGAUCGUAAACUGCUUUUCCCAGGGAAGAGAACGGACGGUACCUGGGGAAUAAGCCCCGGCUAACUACGUGCCAGCAGCCGCGGUAAUACGUAGGGGGCAAGCGUUGUCCGGAUUUAUUGGGCGUAAAGCGCACGCAGGCGGUCUUUUAAGUUUCGAGUGACAGGUGGGGGCUUAACCCUCGCAGGCCUUGGAAAACUGGAAGACUUGAGGACGAGAGAGGGACGCGGAAUUCCAGGUGGAGCGGUGAAAUGC
RNAcentral lists this ribosomal RNA (558 nucleotides) under uncultured bacterium. Its description in RNAcentral is "bacterial SSU rRNA". It matches the Rfam family "Bacterial small subunit ribosomal RNA", at positions 108 to 689 of the family's 1533-position model. The record is from RNAcentral.